This 638-nucleotide long non-coding RNA is filed under the name Mus pahari (shrew mouse). RNAcentral describes it as "RIKEN cDNA 6030442E23 gene (MGP_PahariEiJ_G0004101.1)". Lineage: Eukaryota; Metazoa; Chordata; Mammalia; Rodentia; Muridae. The record is from RNAcentral.
UUUUGGGUUCUUGAUUUCCUUGUUUGUCAGAAGCACCCAGCCAGGGAGGGAUGGAGAGAGUCUGGACUUUUACCUGGACCUCACAAGAGGAAAAUAAAUGAUCCAGCCCCUCAAAGGCUGAUAGCUGUACCCAAAUACAUUCUAGCCUUUGCUUCUCUCAAAACAUCGACAUACUGAUGUUCUAAAGCUACAUUUAUUUUAGAACAACCAAGGAGAGGGGGAAAAAAAUCUUCCUUGCAACGUUUUUUCUUCUGAACUUUGAACUGAUUAUUUUUCUUCCACAUACCCUGGGGUCUUAGAAAGGACAGUCCUUGGGAAAGAUGGAACAGGACACCACGAAGAAGUUGGAGCAAGCGUUUUAAAGAUAAAUGGUAAAACUGAACUGGAAAUCCAUCUGGCCGGCUGCCUGCUCUAAUGAAUAACCCCACUUUGGCUCCUGCAAUGUAAGCAGAAAGUUCUCUCCCGGCCUCUUUCGUCUGUCAUGAAUCUACAAGACAGCCGACAUAAUAUCUGGGCGACAACGGUGCGCUAACAGUGCGGUGACUUCCAUUUUCUUUGCUUUCUAUUGAUUUUCACUUAAUAACUGGCGAAAUACUAAACGUCCGCCCUGAGUACCUAAUAAAUCCUGCCUGAGCUUU